This 250-nucleotide unclassified non-coding RNA is filed under the name plant metagenome. RNAcentral describes it as "partial contains small subunit ribosomal RNA, internal transcribed spacer 1, and 5.8S ribosomal RNA". The record is from RNAcentral.
GUAGGUGAACCUGCGGAAGGAUCAUUAACACGUAUCCAAACGUUAAACCCCCCUGUGCAUCUUAAUCCUGCUCGCUUUCGCCUUUGACAAAGCAAUCUCUGGUAAAUCAUUGCCCAAACAGUGUUGAUUCAGAGACCUCUUUCGAAACACGAAUCCAUGGAGCGGCAGAUCAAUAGGCUUGGCUUCCAACGGAGGGAGGAUAACUUGGUAACAUCCAAGGUCGUUGGCUCAACGGACAAGUCUCUGGGCG